AAGCUAUUAGGCUGGUGCAAAAGUAACUGCAAUUUUUGCCAUUGAAAGUAAUGGCAAUAACCGCAAUUACUUUUGCACCAACCUAAUA
This is a microRNA precursor of Chlorocebus sabaeus (green monkey), 88 nucleotides long. The record is from Ensembl. Lineage: Eukaryota; Metazoa; Chordata; Mammalia; Primates; Cercopithecidae.